Molecule: ribosomal RNA, 400 nt
Filed under: uncultured bacterium
Lineage: Bacteria
Description: bacterial SSU rRNA
Rfam family: Bacterial small subunit ribosomal RNA
Source: RNAcentral
UAGGGAAUAUUGGUAAUGUGGGAAACCGCGAACCAGCAACGCCGCGUGUGCGAUGAAGGCCUUCGGGUUGUAAAGCACUUUUUGAGGGGAUGAGGUAGGACAGUACCUUCAGAAUAAGUCUCGGCUAACUACGUGCCAGCAGCCGCGGUAACACGUAGGAGACAAGCGUUAUCCGGAUUUACUGGGCGUAAAGCGCAUGCAGGCGGUUUGAUAAGUUGGAUGUGAAAGCUCCCGGCUUAACUGGGAGAGGUCGUUCAAUACUGUCGAACUAGAGGAUGGAAGAGGAAGGUGGAAUUCCGGGUGUAGUGGUGAAAUGCGUAGAUAUCCGGAGGAACACCAGUGGCGAAAGCGACCUUCUGGUCCAUAACUGACGCUCAUAUGCGAAAGCUAGGGUAGCAAA